Salmo salar (Atlantic salmon) is the source of this 54-nucleotide non-coding RNA. Lineage: Eukaryota; Metazoa; Chordata; Actinopteri; Salmoniformes; Salmonidae. The record is from Rfam.
UGCAUUCACUACUGUAAGUCGCUCUGGAUAAGAGCGUCUGCUAAAUGACUGUAA